This 233-nucleotide long non-coding RNA is filed under the name Elaeis guineensis (African oil palm). Its description in RNAcentral is "long non-coding RNA (EGUI_LNC037321)". The record is from RNAcentral. Lineage: Eukaryota; Viridiplantae; Streptophyta; Magnoliopsida; Arecales; Arecaceae.
AUCGAACUGUCGGCCAUUAUUGGUGAUUAUUACUCUUGGAAGUCCGAAACUGCAUAUGAUCAAUCUUUAGAUAAAGUUUCUCACCUUUUGCUCGGUAAUCUGAGCUAGAGAUUUGGCUUCCACCCAUUUUGUGAAGUAAUCUAUUGUGACGAUCAAGAAUUCUUUUUCGUCCAUCGCUAUCAGAAAGGGAUAGAGGAUACCCAUCCCCCACAUCACAAAAGGCCAAGGGGAUG